This 774-nucleotide ribosomal RNA is filed under the name uncultured Neocallimastigales. RNAcentral's name for it is "partial large subunit ribosomal RNA". It matches the Rfam family "Eukaryotic large subunit ribosomal RNA", at positions 23 to 645 of the family's 3401-position model. Lineage: Eukaryota; Fungi; Neocallimastigomycota; Neocallimastigomycetes; Neocallimastigales. The record is from RNAcentral.
AGAGAGAGACAUGCGCGCAUAUCAAUAAGCGGAGGAAAAGAAACUAACUAGGAUUCCCUCAGUAACGGCGAGUGAAGCGGGAAGAGCUCAAAUUUGAAAUCUUAAAGGUUUCCCUUGACGAAUUGUAGUUUAAAGAAGUGUUUUCUGUUGGAGUUUUGGUAAAAGUUCUUUGGAAUAGGACAUCAUAGAGGGUGAGAAUCCCGUAUUUGACCAUUAUUUCCAGCUUUGUGAUACACUUUCAAAGAGUCGGAUUGUUUGGGAAUGCAGUCCAAAAUGGGUGGUAAAUUUCAUCUAAAGCUAAAUAUUGGCGAGAGACCGAUAGCGAACAAGUACCGUGAGGGAAAGAUGAAAAGAACUUUGAAAAGAGAGUUAAACAGUACGUGAAAUUGUCAAAAGGGAAGCGUUUGACACCAGUGUUGUCUUCUCGAAAAUCAAUUAAAAAAGGCAGGAUUUUGUGUUGUAUUGACUUUAUCAGCUUUCUGCACUUCUUUUCUUGUCUUUUUUAAUGCACUUUUCGUUUAACAAGUCAACAUCAAUUUCUUUUGUUGUAAAAGGGUCAUUGGAAGGUGGCUUUCUUUUCGGAGAAAGUGUUUAUAGCCUUUGGCCUCUGCAAUCGGAGAGAUUGAGGUCUGCAGCGUAGAUCCUUCGGGGCUAGAUACAUUUGUGCUAAGUUAUAGCAUUUAUAGACAACUUGUUGACUAUGAUUCAGUCAUAGUAGCUUACUCGCUUAUGUUAUUUUACCUACGCUUAGGAUGUUGAUGUGAUACUGCGAGC